RNAcentral lists this long non-coding RNA (1511 nucleotides) under Equus asinus (donkey). RNAcentral describes it as "lncRNA (ENSEASG00005035817.1, ENSEASG00020024842.1)". Lineage: Eukaryota; Metazoa; Chordata; Mammalia; Perissodactyla; Equidae. The record is from RNAcentral.
CUGGUCUCUGCCGUGGUGGUAACUGUAUUGGGGUCCCUGAGCCCCCUAAGGCAGGAUGCAGCCUGAGCCCUUGCUGAGUGGCCUUAGCACCCACACCUGGGCGGAUGGACCCCCAAGACCGCUGACUGCAGCCUCCACGUGGUGCUUCUUUCCCAGCUCCUGGAAACCUUCUACCCAUUUCCCUCAGCUGUCCCCCAUCCCACCCCCCGGCCACUGCUAACCCACUUUCUGUCCCUGUGGAUCUGCCUGCGCUGGACGUUUCCUGUAGACGUCCUCUACAGGACGGAGGGCCUCCUGUGUCUGGCUUCUUUCUUGGCAUCACGUCUUCCAGGGUCAUCCACAUUCAUGCCUGUGUUGGUGCUUCCUCCCUUUCUGUGGCUGAAUAUACUCCACUGUACGCAGAGACCACACGUGGUUCAUCCGCUGACGUCUGGCUGUUCCACCUUUGGCUGCUGUGGCUGGUGCUGCCGUGAACAUUGUGUGCCAGUUUCUGUGGGGAUGGAGGUUUCGAUUCUCUUGGGUCAUGGCUUGGAGAGGAAUUGCUGGGCCAAAUGGCAGCUGUGUUUAACAUUCUGAGGAGCCUAGUGUCCACCGCAGCUGCACUGUGUACAGGCCCAGCCGCUGCGUGCAAGGGUUCGAUGGCUCCACACCCUCCCCAGCACCAGCUGUUCUCCGGCCUUUUGACUCCAGCCCUCCAGCUGAGGGUGCAGUGCUCUCUCAUUUGAUUUGCGUUUCCCUGACGACUCAUGAUGCUGGGCGUCCUUUCAUGUGCUUGUCGGCCAUUUAUAUAAAUUAUUUGGAAAAACAUUUAUUCAAGUCCUCUGACCAUUCUUUAGUUCAGCUGUUUAUCUUUUUAUUGUUGAGUCGUAAGAGUUCUUUAGUGUUUGGUUUUUAGCUGCCGAGCAUCACUUCUGCUCCAUCGUUGGCCAGAAAUGGUCACGUGACCUCAGUCCAGCUUGCCGAGCAUGUGGCGUGUUUGGGAGGCAUAGGCGGUCUCUGCCACACGCCUGCAGGGUUAGGACUGGGGAGUGGGUGGCUGGCGCUCCUUGCCCACCUGUCGCCACUGACUGGAGGUGCCACCUGUACCCACACUUAACUCCUUGUGUGUUUGUGUGUCCUUCUCCAUCUGGAGAUGGUGACGGGUCCACACAGUAGUCACUGGCCGUGGCCUGAAAAUGUGUGCCGACACCCGGUACUGGUGGCUCCCUCAUGGCUCUUUACUCCGGAACGUUCUUAGCUAUUCACAGUUGCUUGCUUUUCAAUGUUAACCUUCUAAUCAGCUCACCUAGUCACAGGCGCGUGGUCCGGUGCCUUCCAUUGGUGGCAUCACACGAAGGUUAGCUCAGGAGGAACUGAUGUCCCUGUGACCCCGGGACCCCAUCUCAGACAGAACGCGACUUCUGUCAGUGGGAAGUCCUUCAGGACGGUCUCAGGAUCUUUCCUGGGGAGGUCGGUGUGUGAAGUUUGCGAUUUUUAUUGCUGUUCUGAGUGGCGCCUUCUCUUUAUCAUCU